This 253-nucleotide ribosomal RNA is filed under the name uncultured bacterium. RNAcentral describes it as "partial 16S ribosomal RNA". It matches the Rfam family "Bacterial small subunit ribosomal RNA", at positions 524 to 776 of the family's 1533-position model. The record is from RNAcentral.
UACGUAGGUGGCGAGCGUUGUCCGGAUUUACUGGGCGUAAAGGGAGCGUAGGCGGACUUUUAAGUGAGAUGUGAAAUACUCGGGCUCAACUUGAGUGCUGCAUUUCAAACUGGAAGUCUAGAGUGCAGGAGAGGAGAGUGGAAUUCCAUGUGUAGCGGUGAAAUGCGUAGAUAUAUGAAGGAACACCGGUGGCGAAAGCGGCUCUCUGGCCUGUAACUGACACUGAGGCUCGAAAGCGUGGGGAGCAAACAGG